GACGAACGCUGGCGGCGUGCUUAACACAUGCAAGUCGAACGGAAAGGCCCUGCUUGCAGGGUACUCGAGUGGCGAACGGGUGAGUAACACGUGGGUGAUCUGCCCUGCACUUCGGGAUAAGCCUGGGAAACUGGGUCUAAUACCGGAUAGGAGCCAUUUUUAGUGUGAUGGUUGGAAAGUUUUUUCGGUGUAGGAUGAGCUCGCGGCCUAUCAGCUUGUUGGUGGGGUAAUGGCCUACCAAGGCGGCGACGGGUAGCCGGCCUGAGAGGGUGGACGGCCACGGGGUGACGGAGAGACGGCCCACGCGCCUAACAGCGGCAGCAGGGGGGUAUAGUGAGCAGUGGUCGCAUGUCGGUGGCAGCUGCGCCGUGUGGGGGCGGGCGGCCUUCGGGUUAUACACUCGUUUCUCGGGCGCGGAUAUUUUUGGUGACGAUAAAGAAAUACGAUGCACCGGCUAACUACCCGCCAGCGGCGGGCUUAGUGGCCGACGCGCACCCGUGUGAGC
This 505-nucleotide ribosomal RNA is filed under the name uncultured bacterium. RNAcentral's name for it is "partial 16S ribosomal RNA". It matches the Rfam family "Bacterial small subunit ribosomal RNA", at positions 34 to 540 of the family's 1533-position model. The record is from RNAcentral.